Molecule: small RNA, 123 nt
Filed under: human gut metagenome
Description: HNH endonuclease-associated RNA and ORF (HEARO) RNA
Rfam family: HNH endonuclease-associated RNA and ORF (HEARO) RNA
Source: RNAcentral
GUCAACUACCUCGGCCUGAAGGCCGAGGCUUGAAAAAGCCUCUGGUUGACUAGCCUCAGUCUGCCUUUGGGCAGGCUACGUUGGUUGGGAAUGUAUAGGCACCGCGGAAUGUCGAUCCUAGUU